AAUGAACGCUGGCGGCGCGCCUAAUACAUGCAAGUCGAGCGGUAAGGCCCUUUCGGGGGUACACGAGCGGCGAACGGGUGAGUAACACGUGGGUGACCUGCCCUCAGCUCUGGGAUAAGCCUGGGAAACCGGGUCUAAUACCGGAUAUGACUCCAUGACGCAUGUUGUGGGGUGGAAAGCCUUGUGCGGCUGAGGAUGGGCCCGCGGCCUAUCAGCUUGUUGGUGGGGUGAUGGCCUACCAAGGCGACGACGGGUAGCCGGCCUGAGAGGGCGACCGGCCACACUGGGACUGAGACACGGCCCAGACUCCUACGGGAGGCAGCAGUGGGGAAUCUUGCGCAAUGGGCGAAAGCCUGACGCGGCGACGCCGCGUGAGGGAUGACGGCCU
This 388-nucleotide ribosomal RNA is filed under the name uncultured bacterium. RNAcentral's name for it is "bacterial SSU rRNA". It matches the Rfam family "Bacterial small subunit ribosomal RNA", at positions 28 to 417 of the family's 1533-position model. The record is from RNAcentral.